GGUACAACUACAACAACAGCACACCGAACCGCCCAACACUCCGCUGCCCAUCGUAACACCUUUUGUUACGUUCGAGGCGAAUCCGGCCGAUCACGCCGAUCACGGCCGACCCCCUGGACACGCGACACUCGGGUACGGUGUGGUCUGGCGAAGAUGCGACUGCGGAUUUGGAGCCGGGAUCAUAGGCGUCAUAGAAUAUUUAAAAUCGAAAGCAAGCCAAGUUCUAAACUGAUCCGCGAAGGUAAGGGCUCCGGCCUGGGCCGACCGUAUCACACACACACACACACACACAUACUGUGGUAAGUGGAACAGCAAACGCAACACGCGAAACACAAUGAAGCCGAGGUGCGAGAAAUCUUUAAACUAUGCAAUGCAGUUUUUUAAUAAGAAAUAAUUAUAAAAAAACAAAGCCAGUAUGAAACGUGAUUGCUAGCAGGCCUGCUAGUCGUAAGGCCCUAGCGUGACAAUUAGCUAUUCUAACGAAUCAACACACAUUCAUACAACACAAGAAAUCUAGCUGUAAGAAAGUUUUGCUUUUAACGCGCGUUGAAGAGUUGGGAAUACAAUCAUGAGCGUUAUCGUUUGUGGAUGGAUGGACGGACAUGAAAUAAAUAACACUACAACACAAACCUAAACUACGUUGGCGCAUACCAACAACAGCAAUAACAAAGCAGCAAUCGAUAGCAUCCUCAUCAUCCAUCCUAUUUCUUCUACGAUCAAAUCCUCAAAUUUUGAAAUUACUCUGCUCGUAACUACCAACCCACGAGUUCUGAGGUGUUUAAAAAGAUAAAUUCUUAUGGAUGUAGCGCCAGGGUGGAGUUGUAGCCAGGGCGGAGAGUUUAUCAAUUUCAACGAGACGUCCACUAGCAGCAGUACAAUUAAACCACGGCACACAGAACAAUUUCGUGAUGGCAACCCAUAGAAGCAUAGCUAGGCGAGUCUUUCUUAGAAGCGGAGUUAGGAUGUAGCUACACAAACACUUCUCAAACACAUGAGGUAAACAAAUCUCUUUGCGUCCCGAGCGCUUUAGUAGUGCGGCAGUAGUAGCACCGUUAGCGUGGUUGUAGCGAGCCGAUGUGCGCAGCUUAGCAAGUCGCCGUGCGUACCAGUUUGCGUACCGUCCGCGUUUGAUUCAAUCUUCUCUUUUUUGUAACAUCUAAAACGGUUUCUGGUACUUAGUGAUUGAAAACUUCCAAUCUUCCAAUAGAGGAGGACGAUCGAGUAGUGUUGUAGCAUUAUUACGAACGAAAAUAACACCUUUCCAACAUUUCCAAUAGCGCUUAUUUCGACCCUGGUUCAGGGAGCGGUUAAGCGAUAUUCUGCAGCGUUGGAGUGACUUUUCUAGCUGGGGGAAAAGCUGCUUUAAGUUCGGUAGUGUACACUAAUAUCUGUUUAUUUCAUGGGAACCACAUUUUGCUGAUUAUCGUAUGCUUUUUUUAUUUACACAAUAGAUUUGUAUUACAAACAACCAGCCAGCAGUAUACUUAACAAUCCCACAUGUCAUAGAAAAUGAGACAAAAUUUGACAACUUCAUUACACCCUUACUCAAACCGUGAACAAAACCAUCCAAAACCGUUGGAACAAACAAACAAGCCGUAGGUGGUGAACAUCCUCCACCAAGCGAACGAGAUAUCUUAAUUAUCUCUUGCACAGAAAAUUGCCCGCCUCCCUCAUUUUCCAUUACGUGUUAUGUGCGCCAAUAGGAGCCAUUCGCCAAUCUCCUUAACCUUGUUGGCUGCAGUUACAUUCUAUCGACUGCCAACGUACAGAAAGGUUGGCAGAAAUGAGUUGCCAAGUUCGGCUUCCGUAAUCGGAUUCCGUCCCAACCUUGGGAGCCACCCAAGCCGACGGUGAGCGGACAUUAUACCACCCGGUAUUCAGCCCCGAGAACCCUCAGUGUCCAAAACAAGUCGACCGAAGCAUUUGCUGCUGCUGCUGCUGCCAAUCGUGGCCAAAAUUUGUUUCACUUUUCAGCACAAAAACUCCCGGUAACUACGACUUGGACUUUCGUUCGAAAUGGUUGCCUAGUGGCCCGGUACGGGUACUUCUCGUUCCUAGGAGUCAGUGAAGCUGAAGUCUAACUAGCCCAGGACUGGCGAAGGGACAGCAAACAGGGACGAUGACGAUAUAAUUUUUCGACCGUUGGUUACGAAAGUUGCUCCAAACGAACCAAAUCCCUGCGCGCAGCUCGGUUCGGUAGUAUGUGUCACCGCCACAGCGAAAGUGGUAGUGGCUCCACCACCCGUACGGGGCAGAUUGAAAAAUAGUCCGAUUUUGGAAGCAAAAAAUUGUUUUCCGUUCGUCCUGUGGCUCUUGGCAGAAAUCGUUUUGCAUGAUGCUGCUGUCGAAAUCGGGGUAGCAUCGGGGAAGGAGAAGGCAUCGUUCACCCAGGUGGAAAAAAUGUCCACAACAAACAAAUCCAAUUUUCCCUGUGUGUACUUUUCUGUAUUCGGGUAUGGCCUCGUGGGGGCGGGGGGGGGGUGAGGGUGAGCCAACAUCUUCCGCCCCGUACGAAUCAUGGAUCGCGUGUCUAGACCUUCGCGCCAGCUAAACUUUGGAAGGAUGUGUUUGCUUAUUUUCCAUUGAACUGAGUGGAGACGCUCAUACAAAUCAUAAAAUUUGUUACUAGUUUCCACACCCCCGUUCCCCGCUUUACCAAAAAAUAACCAUAUUUCUUUGUAAUUAAUUUCCAUACUGAUUGAAAGUUUGUUUGUGCAAUACCUCACCAUGGGGAAAUGGAAAUCAUAAAUACGGUAACGGCUGCCUGUACGAACCCUACCCUCAAUGCGAUGGCAACACAAAAAAAGUUUCACCAUAGCCGCGGCACGCCAGGCCACCGCUGGCUGAAGGUCAUGAAGUCAACGGCUCUUCUGACUGCCGCACUCCCGGGGCGGUGUUCCACCACCACCGAUUGGGUUUCAUUUUUGCCGAAGCUUUCAUUCGCUUAUCCAUCACUUUUCCAUCUCCGAGUCCGGGUCCAUCAUGACGCACGUUAUUUUCUAGGAAUUUCCUUUCCCCCCCCCCCUCCCUGACAUGGUGGCAUAUUUUACGGGAUAUGAAUACUAAGAGAUGUUGAGAUAGCCCCGUGAAGGUAACGCGAGUGUUGUCGGAAGGCUGUUGUACACUUGCCAACAUAGGACUAGCAAACAUUGUAUCGUUGUGUGAAUCUUUUCUGUCAAAGUUGAACCAAUUGCCUGCAAACGUUUCUAACAUCAGCAAUAACAUACUAUUAUUUGUUCGGUUAAAUUUGUUGCCAACACCGGCUCGAGAUAAUGCAAACAGUACAAUCGCAAGUCCAUGCCCAGCACUGUCGCUUUUAUGGAAAAUAAAUUGCAAACAUCUUUCUCCGUGCCAAACAAGAGUGAAAAAAAACGCAAACAAAAAGUUGAUUAGAUCGCUUCCGUUUGCUUGCCCAAAAAAAACGGUCGAGCCUGUGGGGCACACGCACACACACGCGCACGCAAUACAACAACCACGUGUGAGGGAAAAAUCGAUCGGGGGAUGACAUUUUUCUGGCAAUCCUUUCCGGCUCUUCUGUUCCGGUGAGUGUGUGAGUGUAUGUGCUAUGUUUGGGGAAACGAGGUUCUGCUAUCUUGCUUUGCCUCCACGCCACCAGGUUACAUCUGGCAACUCAGGUUUGGGGGUUUUGCUGGCCACGUGCUGCUGGUGGGAUUAAAUUGUGAAAUAUCCAGAGCUUAGUGUCCCCAGACGACCCCCCAAAUAUACAGUCCCCGUUUGUGUCGGACAGGUCGUUCCAUCCGCCCCAUUGACUACCUGUCAAUUGGUGAAUGAAUUGUUUAAAAUCAACCCUUCCGUUUCCGUUGCGGACCUCACGGUCGGUCGUUUCGAUUCUCUGCAUUUGCUGCUGCCCCCUCCCGAACAGAGCGCAUUUGUGCGGUAUUAGCUUCCUUAACACAUCAAUUUAAAGCACAGUGAACACAGUGGGGAGAAGCAACAAACCCCCCCCCUCCCCCACCCCGUUUCUCGCCGGUCCCGCAGGUUAACCGAGUUAGCGAGGUUAGCGAGUGAAAGCGCCGGCAAAGCGAGGAUCUUUGUUCCCAAAUCUGUCUGCUGUCCCUUUUUUUGAGAUGCUUCCUUCCAGUUUCCUUCCCAACCGAUGGGCGAAACCUUUUGCUUCGAUUCACAACAACAUCCCCGGAUCGAUUUGUAAUGCCCGGUUCGUACACCCUCAUCACCUCGGUCGCCGUGCUCGGUUGUGUGAUGCCGUAGAUAAUAUUUCAAAUUGCUCCCCAGGGGGCUAUGAACAAUGCAGCAUAACGAUACCCGGUUUCUUUUGUUUUCCUUUUGCGUUUGGCUAAAAUUAGGUUCAUAAAUUUCAACUCCACCAACGACCAACCCACCAAAUGCACGCGAAAGCUCUCGCCAGUCGCGCUACCAAUUUGUCGGACGUACGGAAAGCUGUAGCGCACCGAGCUGUAUUGUGCGGUGCUGCCCUGGGCUUCGACAUCAAACGCUGGCACUUGUUUUGUCGUGAAUAUCAAACGAAACCGAAACGAAAUUCCAAUUGGAGCGAACAACUUACCACGGCGGUUGUACGUUUUGUUUCCUUUUCCUAUAGCAAGUACGGUGACAUUUUCGACCGAGUGUUCACUUUCCUUCUUCCAUUUAAUGAGAGAGUCGCUACUCUCCGCGGCUACAACGUCGCAACCUCCUUCGAUUCGUGCGCAUUUUAGCCGGUCUCGUAUCGCUGAACAAAAAGCAGUAGAUAGGAGAUAGGGGCGUGUGCUUUGGCUUUGAUCCUUGCCGCCGGUUGAAGCAGUUCAAAGAAUCGUACAGUGCACGUGCCGUCUUUUGUGUGAAUAAGCACACGUCUUCCCGCUUUUGGCUGAACGCUGUACGCAUCGUCAAAUAUUAAGCACAUAAUUAAAACAAUAACAAAGAUUUAAGACCACCCACGGUGACAUUUCGUGACACACGGUACGGCAAAAUGUGGCUUUGUAUGGGCGCUUGAAGCGCUUGGAGAGUGAAAUGUUUGGUAGAACGAGUACAAUCGCAUUGUUGGGAUCGGUAUGUUAUGCUCUAACAGCAGGAUUUAAAUACAUUCCCCUGGUAACAGAAGGUUGGAUUGUUCUUAUUAAAGCCCGAGUUACAGCUCGAAUGAAAAUGAAAGUGGAAUUUUGUUUUUUUUUGUUUUGUUUGCUAUAUUCCAUUAAAUAUCGAUCAAAAUAUGGCACCAAAAGAAAGGAAUUUAGAUUUUCCAAUUAUUUAGACUAUGAAACGUGUUUGAAUAAUGAAUAAAAAGCAUUUACUUGUGAUUAACCGCUGAAAAUUAUGUUCUUACCGUGAACAAAGCGGGGCAUCACAAGUAAAUGCUUUUAAUUAAUUAUUGUAACAUUUCUAAAGAGUCUAAAUAGUUUGGGAAUUUAAUGAAAUAUAGCAGAAAACCCCAAACAUUCACGUUCAAUUUCACUGGAGCUGUACCUCGGGCUUAAAAUGUAAAACGCCUAAAGGUAUGCAACCUGACUGGUUGAUUGCCUGAAGCUGUUUUCAUAAGGACAUUAUUUAUCGAACAAUAAUUAAAACAAUUCUUCAAACAAUUUACAAUAGACUCUUACUUCUGCAAAGAAAAAAUCAUUUAAAAGGUGCUUUUGAAUUUCCAUCCCUUCUACACUCUCAAUCUGGCGUCUUAAAACCUUCGACAUCUUUAUCAAAUAUUUACGCUUGAUUGACUUGCAAAAACAAAAGCUCGUCGUUUGUGCUUUACCCUUCCUACUGUUGCUUUGCUCAGCCGUCCACUUAAAAAAGGGAUUCAUAAUUUUUGCGGAAAUCUCUCUUCACAAGCCUUCACCUGAGCCGUACAAUUUGCCUGUUAAAAGCCCAUUCAAACUCAACCACCGACACUGACACUGAUCGCAUCAAAAGAGGAAAAAAAGGCUAACACGCUCUUUGAAGAACUUUGCAAACCGGAUGGGCCCACCGGUUCCUUCUUAUAACGAUCCGCUUACGCAAAAGCGGCCGUUUCUUUCGACCCAACCCAGCCAGCCAGUCCUCGAUACAGGAGGACUUCAGGCUUCAGCCACUCGAACUGCCACGAACCACGGCCACUCAUCGUUCAUUGGUGAAAUUGUCACCGUGUAAAGCAAAAAAACAAGUGGCACAGAAGAGUGCAAGGAGUUGAGCAAGAAAAUGGCUGAUAAAAAUACUCGACGAAUGGUGGAAAAAAAGACGCCGAACCAAAACAAACGGAGCAAAGCAACAGUAGCAAACAAAAAAAAACACCACCCCGUCACCAAACAAAGAGGUAAGGCUACCGUCGAUAAUUUCAUUGUUUGGCAGUGGAAAUAAUAGAUCGAUGAGACGGCAAAGAGUAGCAACAACAACAACAACAGCAAAAAUGACACCCCCACACAAAAGGGACUGCGUGGCUGAACGGUUGCAGCUGGCUGAGGAAUAAGCCCAUCCUUAUACAAAGCACAGACACACACACACAAAAACCGAUCCCCCAAUCGGCCGUGCUCGAGUGGAAAAUGGAGGGAUCAAUUUCUUUUUUUUUUUUUUGCCUGCACUACGAAAAGUAACAGUAAUCCGAUGGGAAAUCGGCCAUGGAAAAAGCUUACUGCGAUGGGAUUGGUUCGGUGCGGUGGGAUCGGGCACUGGACGACACAUUUUUGUCAUCGAUUUAAUGUAUCCCACAAUGGUUCGGCAUCGGUCCGGUCGGUGUUGGGUUUCGGCGUGGACACGGGGCAGUUUCCGGAACAGGGGUGCAUGUGUGAGGCCGGAUAUUAUCUCCUGCUCGCCAAUACCUUUCGCUCCCUCGCUUUGUAACGGGGGAAACGGGGGAGAGAGGGAGUGUGAAGCAUGGUUGAUACGAAGCGAUGAAAAGCUUCCUACGACAUACCGUACACUUUAUGGGUCGUAAUUGAAUUUCGUGUAGUUCAAUGGCACCAACGAGCCGGGCCGUAGCAAAGUUUAUGUGUGCCAGGGGACAUUUUGUCGAAUGUUUUUUUUUUAUUCUUUUCCUUUUUUAAACCGACGAGCUUUACAAGCAUGCAAAAAAUUAAACAUCAUCAAGCACAUCACGUUAGGUUGUGCUACCAUUUGACCCUAAUUGAUGAGGGCAGAUGUUUUUCUUGUAUCGUUAUAACUUACAGAAUGACCGCAAUUUCGCCUUACUACUCGGAACAGCAACGAACCUGGACCUGUGUGGUCGUGGAAGCGGUGUGAAUACCGUUCGAACGACAAGGCACUAGACAGUUUUUUUUAAAGUAUUUUUUACCUUUUUUGCCAUUCUUCGAAACUCGGUAAUAUGAAUUCAAUGGAUCGUCUUAGGUUUGGCAUUACAAUUACAAUGAUAUGGUCUGCAUGAGCAUUUAUAGCCAAUUUCGGGCACUUACAUGUUUUUUUUUUUUUAUUGAAGCUAAAACACUAGCUGGGUUUUUACAAAAUUGGCCUUAAAAAUGUAUUCCUUACUAAAUGUUUCACUGUGAAUGGUUCAUAAUGAGUUCAAAUAAAUUUAGAAUAUUUUGCAACUUUGAUGCUAAUUAUAAACAAAGUGCUCGAAAUCUAAAAUACACAGUUUUGAGUGUUCUUCUAUGAUUCGAACAAUUUUAGGAAUUUUUAGCUUUCCUUUACAUAAAUGCUUAAAGUAAGGGUAGGAGAAUUAGGGGAUUGAACUUUCUAUCACAAUCAAGGCACCUUGGAACGUCCAAAUGUCUUAGAUUUAGAUAUUAAGCACAUAAGAUGGUCAAUGUAGGACAAAGGCUGUUGCGGUUGCUUCAGUUGCAUCGUUCAAGGCAAUAUUAAAUAUUAAAAUUCAGCGCACUCAAAUCAAGCAAGUCUACAUGCGUGGUACAGAAAAUGACAACUUGGGACAUCUUUUUUAAAAGUUGAAACGACUUUCCUUCAAUAUAAAACAGAACAAGCUAAGCUUGCUGCUGUUCUUGCAUGCCUUUUUAAGACAUGUUGUAAUACAAAUUGCAUACUUUAAGGCGGAUAACUCCAUCACAACAAUAACUAUAGUUACCAACUUUGGACUUUGAUGUGGCCAAUCUGUAGAAAGGAUACCUUUCGCUUUAUCGCAAACAAUAAACUGCCGCGGAUGUUGGAUGGAAAAAAAACUCGGUAAAAGAAAAUACCUUUUCUCCCACGUCCCACGCUCCCAUGACUCUCCACAUCAUAAAACAGCAGGCAAGACUAAUUUGCUGAGAGUGUCAUAAUCUUCUUUUCUCUUUUAAUUGUUCACCAUCACAAACCUCUGCCCACCACCCUUUUAUCCAUAGCACUUUUGAGCGAAAGCACGGUUUUGCAAAACUAUACAAGUGUGCAGCAAACACUUCCCCCCCCCCCAUGCUUUUGUCUUUGCUUUCUAACCGGUAACGGUGUGAGCAAACCAUUUUCCCCCGUUGUUGCUUUCGCGUUCGCACACAAAGGGGGGGGGGUUAAACUUACCCUUCCUGCGCGCAACUUGCAAACCUCUGCCAAAUGGAAAAUGGCAAACUGUGCAGUGAAAGCAUCCGCACACUGACUGAGUAAGAAAACGUAAAUACCAAAUCAAACUCACCCAUCCCACACUUCUCAAUCCAUUGCGAAGCGUACAUAAUUCUUUCUACCAUCUUUUUGCCCGUGUAUUUAUUUACCUGCCACGCUUCGGGAGCGCGCGUUUCAUGCUGCGCUUUAUGAUUGGUAGGGCAUACGUUACGUUCCAAGAAAACGAUUGAAACCUCCAGUCGGCUCCUAGGGAAGCGAUACCGCAGUGCAAAGUGCGGUUCGUUUUGCAAACCGAAAGUUAAUGAGAUUUUCGAAAUUCUGAUUUGAAAAAAUAAGCUCUCUGCUGGGAAAGAUUACAUCGCGGGUAUCAAAAAUUACUAAACCAACGUUUUUAAAAGCCUCGUACUGGGUAAAUUAAUAUCUCUCACCAAACACCAUUCCUUGGCAGCUAAUUGAUGUGCGGGAAAGUGCCAGACCCGUCCUUUAAUUCGCUAAUUGUGCUUAAGCGCUGUUCGACAACACUUUCUACCAUCGGCUCGCCAACUCGGACCAAAGGGGGGAGGGUGGACAAUUAAGAAGUGACUUUCGCCCGAAACUGGCAUCGUUUGCCCUGUUUCACUCGAACCCAUUAGGCGGUGGUAUCGCAACACACAAAACUCGGAUCGAUCGUGAGCGCUCAAUUCCACGAACUAGUAACCAGCUGUUAGAGCUUUUCGCGUGCUGGUACUAUUGACUGACGGCGGUGUGGCGUUGAUUGCAUGGAGAUAGAGAAAGAGAAAAAGAGGGAGAGAGAGAGAGAGAGAGAGAGAGAGAGCUUUUGUCAAUAAAAACGAUCCUAUGCAGGGUUGAUUGUUUGCGCUUUAGAUAUCGCUUUGCGUGCAAUCCUUUACCUUUCAGCAAACAUCAAAAAAGCUUAUUUUUGCUGCUUUUCUACUCUUUCACCCACACACACAAACAGAAACUUUCUCAAACUUUGUCACAAGUUUGUUUUUCGAUGUACUUUUUCCUUGUUUGUGUGUGCGUUUAAGCGAUUCUACCCUAGAAGACCGGUAUUGGAAACUCACCCAACAUAUUUUACACGUGAAGAAUACUUUUCUUAUUUUUUCACGAUUAUAUUUUUUGUUCAAAAUACUUUCUACUACGGUUGAUGCUCAUUAACGGUAUGUUCUUUUCGUUGUUUUUUUUCUGCGUUGGUUUUGGUUUUUGGUCCCUUACCCGUGGGUUUUAGCAAAUUUCCUCCUUAUUUGCUCCUUCCUUUGCGGAUGCGGUUGCUCAUUAAGAAUGAUGGGAAGGUGUUCAUGUUUCAUGUUACGUUAUACGCUUGCUACAAUACUCCACCACAGCAGCAACAAGUCACUCCACCCGUUCCUCCAAAUAAUAACACAAUACAAAAUCUUGCAAUAGAAUUAUAGAAUUGUUAGAAGUUGUUAUAGAAUUAUAGAAGAGCAACCAAAAAUAGAGCGAACAACAACACACAACAGAACUAAGCUAGAAAUCCCAGACAGCGAAGUGCUAAGUAUGUCACACACUCGGCUAGUGCUCGACACUCGACGGCCGCUUCCGGUAAGGCACGCGCCAAUAUUACAGACAAAUAAAAAAAAAAAAACAUUAGAUAAAAAUACAAACAAAUACAACGCUACGCACCACGCGCAUCCAAAACAAAACAGCCUAACCUUUUUUUCCCCGCUGCUAACCCGAUACCGACUCCAAUCAAAUCGACGAUCGGCCCACUUCGGGCACGCUUUUGGUCCUGGGACGAGAGAUAUCUUUUCCUCUGCCAGGCAGCAGGCAGGCUGGCACCGUCGCAACUGCUUGGUUUGGACGCAAAACGAUGGCAGUGGCAGUGUGUAAUAAAUGGGGACGGAACGGUGCGCCCGCAUCGACAACCGCCAACCCCCCUCCCAAAGGUGAUGAUAGGCUAGGAAGUUUUACAUUCAAAAAAAAAAAAGGGAGUACAGCACCGGGAGCAAGAAUUUGUGUGCUACUACUAGGUAUGGUAUGUAAAAAUAUGGUAUGUAAAACAAAUAGAAACGGAAUGAAUAAUGUAGGUAAGAGAAACGUGAAUUCAAAGUGAACUAAAAAAAAAGGGGUGGGAUAGAAAAGUGAAGCCAACUGAAAGGAAAUGUCCAGCAAGGAGGGCUAAAAUCCUUUCUGCAUCGAAACCGAACACUGGCAUGGAAGGGAAAAACUCGCAAAACCAAAAACAAACAAACAACCAAAAACAACAACUUAAAUCGAUAAAAUUCCACAGUGCCUUGUUUGCUGCGCAUAUAAGAGAAAGCUUAUUAUAAAAAGAGAGGACGUCAGGACAAACCGUUGUCAAAAUGGGGCGCAUCCGAAAACUUAACUAACUACACAUAAACACACACACACACACACACACACACACACACACACACACACACACACACACACACAAUACAUACACACAAAGAAAGUGGCAAAAGAAGAGAAAACAAGCAUGUUAAGUGUGCAAUAGGUUGAACGGCAGUAAAGGAAGUUCCAGCAGCUUUUUGCGCGGUGCAAUGUGCGGUCGUUUCAGAAAAAAGAUGAUGGUGAGAUUUAAAAACAUAAACAAAAAAAAGGACGUGGUUUAAAGACAAAGUAUAUCGUGGGACUUGUGCCGAUAUGGGCAGGGGUAGAUAGACAAUGCGAAGGACUGCACUUUGCGCUCGUGCAUAUGCGUUUUUCCUAAAUCCCAUCCAAAAGCUUUACCUUUAUACGCGAGCAGUAUGUAGGAAUAAUAGUAAAUAGUAGUAGUAGUAGUAGUAGUUAUAGCAAUAGAUAAUCCACUUUUUGCUUUGUUGUUAAACAGUGAGCAAAAUUCGCAACAAAAAAAUUAAAAACAAAAAACACGCAGAAUACACACAGAUUAUGCAUAUCGCGAUAUAAACAUAAAAACUCGAUUGGUUUUUCCCUUCUACCAAAACACUAAAAACGGAUAACCUAAGGUUUGUUAAUGGCGCCUGUCCAGGUUGAAUAUUUAAAAGAAAUGAACAAAAAACAAAUCUAGCGUUAAGCCAGUCUCCUUCCAACAAAUCUAGUUCUAGUUUACUAAUUAAUUGAAUCCUAGUAGCCUCGCGUACGGAUUAGGUAGAGCAUGUUUGCGGGAGUCCGAGUGAGCCGCGUUACAAAAACAAAAUCAGCUAGCAAGUAGGUGUCGACAUGCAACACGCUCAACCACGUGGUUAAACUGUUUGCUUCGUUGUCUCUCUUUCUCGCUCUCUCUCUCUCUAUCUCUUUAACUCUACAACAUAUUUGUCUCUUUCGAUGCUUUUCCGUUUUUCCCGCAAACAAACUCGAAAGCUCAAAGCGUUAAUCGAUACUGUGUUUUUUCCUAUUGGAGAUUUUAAUCAUAUAAGAAAGUUACGCAUCAACUGAGAGGAAUUUGAGGAUGCAGUCAAACUGCAAAACCUCACCAAUAAAAUCUCGCCUAGAAAGCUAGCUAGGAACAUUCUGAAUAGCUGCACCCAAAGCAAACACACCCAAAGAAAGGGUCUAAGGCUAAGUAUAGACCCAUUAGUCCUACAAAUACGUGCAAUAAUGUAAAAUAGUGUUGCUUUUUUCAUCUACGAUUGUUGAACCUCUUCAGAUGUUUUACGGUUUUCCAACGAAUUGUUCUUUAUUUUUACUAGAAACAUUAAAGUAACAAUGCCAAUUACAAACAAAACACACUCACACAACCAUACAAAAUGCUACUGUUUUCACCUAUUAAAAGCGAUAUAGAUAUAGCAUUAGAAGAAAAAAUAGCAACAUGCAAAUAGUAAUAUAUGAACGGCAGGUUCAUGUGGAGGUAUGCCCGUUAGCACUCAGCAACUUAUCUCAAACUCCCAAAAACAAAAAAAACAGCAACCAAAUACCAAACUUUACGCCACUAAGCCCGUGUAGUUUCUAAGCUCAACUCUUUAAAAGAAGCAAAACCGAAACCGACUACUAAAUGCCCAAUUCAUUGCGCUCCAGAACGGUGGAACAAAACUAAUUCAAACAUAUUCUUAUAAAAUGAGAAACGAAACACGCAUGCACACUAAUUGAAGCUUUAUUCAUUUUUUAUUGAAAAUAUUGAAAAAGAAUGUGAGUGGACGAAUUCCAUCAGCAACAAAAAAACUAAAGAGAGAAAAAACUAGCUAUAGGUAUAGGGAAAGAAACAAACAUACCGAAAUUAUUCUGAGAAGCAAAGCUACUAAAUUGAAACUGAAUCUAGAGGAAAGAAAAAAAUCAAGAAGAUAAGGAGACAAGAAAAGAAUCAAACAAACAGAAUGCAAUACUCGACGGACCCUGCUUGAAGAAGGGUGGUGGGGAUAGGGGAGGGGAGGGAUGGGAAGAAAAUAAUUCAACAUGAUAAACUACUUUAAAUGGUUUUGACAUCCGACAGGAAAAUUAUCUUAAAGAAAAUAAAUACCACUUAAUGAAAUAAAACAAA
This is a long non-coding RNA of Anopheles arabiensis, 12868 nucleotides long. RefSeq lists it as uncharacterized. The record is from RefSeq and is a predicted model, not a curated record. The transcript has 2 exons. Lineage: Eukaryota; Metazoa; Arthropoda; Insecta; Diptera; Culicidae.